Long non-coding RNA from Gossypium raimondii (Peruvian cotton), 761 nucleotides. RefSeq lists it as uncharacterized. The record is from RefSeq and is a predicted model, not a curated record. Lineage: Eukaryota; Viridiplantae; Streptophyta; Magnoliopsida; Malvales; Malvaceae. The transcript is spliced from 3 exons.
UAAAACUGAAAUAAUCUCCUAAAAACCCUAGCUCAGCUUCAUUUCGGAAAACCCCUGCCCAGCUUUCCAAAGACCAAUCGUUUCCCCUUCUUCAGGCAUUUAAGAAAAUGAUUAAAAUUAAGAUUGUGUCUUUAAUCAAUAUGUGCCUUUGUCUGGUAAAAAUCUCGAUCCUUCUUCUUCUUUAAGGUCGUUCUAGAUCUCUGGCAUCUUUUUCAGCCGUUGUUGUCAUCGAUCUUAGCAGUUGUCCUUCCAAGGUAGUGCCUUUGUUGCAAACAGAGUAUGGAUUCAAUUAUUAACUAUCGUUCUACAGUUGAGGAUCUUUCGUUUCGGGCCCUUGGAAAUUAUGCCAGUUCCUAAUUUUGAAGUUUGUCUGUCAAAAGCCCCGUCAAAGUUUAUUUUGAUUUCGGACGGUUUUGGUGGUCUCCACCGUUCUUCUUCUAUUCUCUGACCGGGAUCUUGUUUCUCCGCAUCCAUAUCGGCCAGAUGCUAUAGAAAAUAGCCUUACUCUACAUAUUUGUCAUUCUGUGAUAAACUCUUUAAUCCAGUGUUGAUAUCUCUCUCCCUCUUUCCUUCGAGUUACUUGCAUCCCUAGCUCCUUCCAGAUAUUUCCGACUACAAUGCAAUCCCUGAAGGCAUGUUCCAUUUAUUUUGUACCUCUUUUACAGCAAGGGCAUAAUUUUGUGUUGCAAAUCCAUUUGUAGUAUAAAUUACCCAUUGUUGGAAUGUAUCCAUUAUACACCUUCCAAUUUGUAAUUUUUAUU